CAAGAGCUAGACAUUGGACUAUUUUUUUUUAAAAACCUUUUACCACAGAAGAAGUGAAAGCAGCUUGAAACAAAGAGCUGGAGCAGGCUGAGCAUUCCUGGAAAUGCCACAACCACUUAGGAUGACAAGGUUCCAUAAGUAAAGAGGAGAUGAAGUCUCAGACAUGUAUCUCUUCCUUCAGAAAAUAUUUAAGAAGGUUGUCUACACUCUGAUGUCAGCUGGUGGCAAUAGAGAGGCCUCUGGAAGAAAACUGGUCACCUCCAUAUCUGAAUGAAUUUAAAUGGCAUUGUUUGGAGAAUGUUGAACAACAC
Molecule: long non-coding RNA, 311 nt
Organism: Pipra filicauda (Wire-tailed manakin)
Lineage: Eukaryota; Metazoa; Chordata; Aves; Passeriformes; Pipridae
Exons: 5
Source: RefSeq, a predicted model, not a curated record